UGAACGCUGGCGGCAGGCCUAACACAUGCAAGUCGAGCGGUAACAGAUCUAGCUUGCUAGAUGCUGACGAGCGGCGGACGGGUGAGUAACGCAUAGGAAUCUGCCCGGUAGUGGGGGAUAACCUGGGGAAACCCAGGCUAAUACCGCAUACGUCCUACGGGAGAAAGCGGGGUUUCGGCCUCGCGCUAUCGGAUGAGCCUAUGCCGGAUUAGCUGGUUGGUGAGGUAAUGGCUCACCAAGGCGACGAUCCGUAGCUGGUCUGAGAGGAUGAUCAGCCACAUCGGGACUGAGACACGGCCCGAACUCCUACGGGAGGCAGCAGUGGGGAAUAUUGGACAAUGGGGGCAACCCUGAUCCAGCCAUGCCGCGUGUGUGAAGAAGGCCCUCGGGUUGUAAAGCACUUUCAGCGAGGAAGAACGCCUUGUGGUUAAUACCCGCAAGGAAAGACAUCACUCGCAGAAGAAGCACCGGCUAACUCCGUGCCAGCAGCCGCGGUAAUACGGAGGGUGCAAGCGUUAAUCGGAAUUACUGGGCGUAAAGCGCGCGUAGGCGGCUUAAUAAGCCGGUUGUGAAAGCCCCGGGCUCAACCUGGGAACGGCA
RNAcentral lists this ribosomal RNA (600 nucleotides) under Halomonas sp. YIM C208. RNAcentral's name for it is "bacterial SSU rRNA". It matches the Rfam family "Bacterial small subunit ribosomal RNA", at positions 30 to 625 of the family's 1533-position model. Lineage: Bacteria; Pseudomonadati; Pseudomonadota; Gammaproteobacteria; Oceanospirillales; Halomonadaceae. The record is from RNAcentral.